This 143-nucleotide ribosomal RNA is filed under the name uncultured bacterium. Its description in RNAcentral is "partial 16S ribosomal RNA". It matches the Rfam family "Bacterial small subunit ribosomal RNA", at positions 355 to 495 of the family's 1533-position model. The record is from RNAcentral.
UGAGGAAUAUUGGUCAAUGGGCGCAAGCCUGAACCAGCCAUGCCGCGUGCAGGAAGACGGUCCUAUGGAUUGUAAACUGCUUUUAUUCGGGGAUAAACCUCUUUACGUGUAGAGAGCUGAAGGUACCGAAAGAAUAAGCACCG